GCAUUGGUGGUUCAGUGGUAGAAUUCUCGCCUGCCAUGCGGGAGGGGAGGCCCGGGUUCGAUUCCCGGCCAACGCA
Molecule: non-coding RNA, 76 nt
Organism: Pseudopipra pipra
Lineage: Eukaryota; Metazoa; Chordata; Aves; Passeriformes; Pipridae
Source: the annotation of a RefSeq genome assembly